GCAAAUUAUCCUCAUAAGUUAGACGAUAAGAGGAACCGUUAAUAUUUAUAUUAGCCAUAAUUUAAAUUUGUAUACGGUAGAAUAAAAUCGGAGGCCCCGACUGUUUACUAAAAACACAUCUCAGUGCAAUGAUUAAUAUCAUAGUAUACUGGGUGAAAUUUGCCCGAUGCCAUUAAUAUAAGAGAGGUAAUGGGUAACUGUUACUAAUCGAAAGUCUGGUUAAUAGCGGUCUUAACUAUGAGGAUCCAAAGGUAGCAAAAUAAAUUGGCCAUUAAAUGUGGUCCGGUAUCAAUAAUGUAACGAUGGUCUCACUGUCUCUACAACUUGCUCAGUGAAAUUGAAUUACCCGUGCAGAUGCGGGUUACCUCCAGGGGGACGGGAAGACCCUAUGCAGCUUAUA
Molecule: ribosomal RNA, 400 nt
Filed under: Xenasma rimicola
Lineage: Eukaryota; Fungi; Basidiomycota; Agaricomycetes; Russulales; Xenasmataceae
Description: LSU rRNA
Rfam family: Bacterial large subunit ribosomal RNA
Source: RNAcentral